CAUUAAGAAGCUAUGCAACAGCACUAGCCUUUUAAGCUAGAGAUAGAGGUAUAAUUCCCCUCCUUAAUGG
RNAcentral lists this transfer RNA (70 nucleotides) under Cinclosoma punctatum. Its description in RNAcentral is "tRNA-Lys". It matches the Rfam family "tRNA". From Rfam's summary of the family: Transfer RNA (tRNA) molecules are approximately 80 nucleotides in length. Their secondary structure includes four short double-helical elements and three loops (D, anti-codon, and T loops). Further hydrogen bonds mediate the characteristic L-shaped molecular structure. tRNAs have two regions of fundamental functional importance: the anti-codon, which is responsible for specific mRNA codon recognition, and the 3' end, to which the tRNAs corresponding amino acid is attached (by aminoacyl-tRNA synthetases). tRNAs cope with the degeneracy of the genetic code in two manners: having more than one tRNA (with a specific anti-codon) for a particular amino acid; and 'wobble' base-pairing, i.e. permitting non-standard base-pairing at the 3rd anti-codon position. Lineage: Eukaryota; Metazoa; Chordata; Aves; Passeriformes; Cinclosomatidae. The record is from RNAcentral.